This 77-nucleotide transfer RNA is filed under the name Chlorobaculum thiosulfatiphilum. RNAcentral's name for it is "tRNA-Pro". It matches the Rfam family "tRNA". From Rfam's summary of the family: Transfer RNA (tRNA) molecules are approximately 80 nucleotides in length. The record is from RNAcentral. Lineage: Bacteria; Pseudomonadati; Chlorobiota; Chlorobiia; Chlorobiales; Chlorobiaceae.
CGGCGUAUAGCGCAGCUUGGUAGCGCACUACCUUGGGGUGGUAGGGGUCGUGGGUUCAAAUCCCGCUACGCCGACAA